Molecule: long non-coding RNA, 1225 nt
Filed under: Cairina moschata (Muscovy duck)
Lineage: Eukaryota; Metazoa; Chordata; Aves; Anseriformes; Anatidae
Description: domestica (muscovy Duck (domestic type)) lncRNA (ENSCMMG00000002821.1)
Source: RNAcentral
AGGCUGCAAUCCUCUCUGCUGACAAGGGAGCAAGUUUCUAGGAUUUGGUUAAAUAACCAGGAAAACGCUUCCUUAAAAUUUCCCCUCCCCGGCAGCGUCCCCGCUGUCCCCAUGGUGUGGCGAGGGGCAGCGCUGUGGGUGCCGAGCGCUGGGGCCCUGCGUGACAUUUCCCCGGGGGGCCGAGAGCUCGGUCCCGUUCCGUGGGCUGCGUUUGCAGUGGGGAAAUUUCCCCUCUAGAUGGCGGAAAGGGCAGCAGGAAAAACGCAGGGGGCCCACGCUGCGGAGCGUUCAAACGCGGAGGUGCGCGACUGCGGCGCUCGCCCCGCUCCGAGGGUCCCCGCGGCCACCGCUCGGGAUCCGAGGAGCCGCGGCCAGAUGGAAAAAGCAGAUGGAAAAAAGGGCCCAGCAGCCGGAGCCCCAAGGCACCCCCAGCUGUAGGGUUGCCAGCCCCAAAUCCAGGCUGCGGGAGAGGACAGCGAGGGGACCGCCGCGCGCUGGCUGCUGCCGCCUUACCCUGAGCCACCCGCCCGCAACGCCACAGAGAGCAGGGCUGGGGCCGGCGGCGCAGCAGGGAUUUUCCCCCCAGGGGCUGCGGUUAUGCGGUGAGGACCCGCACCUUUUUUUCCUGGCUGUGAGAGCUGGAUCCGAUAUCGCCCUUUCUUCUCUCCGCCUUUUUAUAGCUGCUCCCUGCCCACGAGCAACCUGUUGCAGAGCAGAGCGGGAGCGUGGAGCACAACCCGCCGCUGGCUUCCCCGGGGGCAGCGAGCCCUCACCUUGGGACCGACCACCCGCACGGCCCCACGUCUUCGUUAAGGAUUAUUUUAAUCCCCUGAGAGAUUUACGGUCUCCUCCUGGGGUCCUGUGCCCACGAGGGCAAUGCUGCAGUGAGGAAGGUGCCGUCUCAGGAGGAUCCUCUGAGAGCAUCCAUCUGGACCUGGCUGCUUCCCUGCGGGCACCACGUGGGGUGAAGGCGUCCCAGCAGCGUGGUCCGUCCUUUGGUAGGCAGCAAGGUGGGGUGUCUGCGUGUGGGGUAGGAGGGGGCCAUACCAAACCAGCCUGGGGACAUCACCGGGUGGGGUGUUGUAGGGUUUGGUGGUGCUGGCGUAGGGUUUGGUGGUGCUGGUGUAGGACUUGGUGGUGCUGGUGUAGAGCUUGGUCAUGCUGGUGUAGGAGGUGCUGUAGGGUUUGGUGGAGGUGGUGGAGGUGCUUGGUGGAGGCGGAAUAG